UCUUAGGUGACUGAGUCAAUAAGUGUCAGAUUUUUAAUCUGAAAACAGCAGUUUUUGCUCCUAAGAG
RNAcentral lists this transfer RNA (67 nucleotides) under Mancinella alouina. Its description in RNAcentral is "tRNA-Lys". It matches the Rfam family "tRNA". From Rfam's summary of the family: Transfer RNA (tRNA) molecules are approximately 80 nucleotides in length. Their secondary structure includes four short double-helical elements and three loops (D, anti-codon, and T loops). Lineage: Eukaryota; Metazoa; Mollusca; Gastropoda; Neogastropoda; Muricidae. The record is from RNAcentral.